CCGGUGGGCCGGGUGGCCGCUCCGAUUCGUCGGAGAGGAAAGUCCGAGCUCCUCCGGGCAGGGUGCUGGGUAACGCCCAGGCGGGGCAACCCGACGGAAAGCGCCACAGAAACAUACCGCUUCGGUUUACCGAAGUAAGGGUGAAAUCGGGAGGCAAGAGCUCCCGGCCGACCGUGGUGACACGGCGGCGGGCAAGCCCCAUCCGGAGCAAGGCCAAAUAGGGGGGCCAAGAGCGCCCGGAUCGCCCCCGGGUUGGCCGCACGACUCCGCCGGCAACGGCGGGGCUAGAGGGAUGGCCACCGCCCGUUCCGCCAUAAGGAAGAAGCCCUACGGGGUGUAAACUGAUGGUGGGCGGGUACAGAACUCGGCUUACAGGCCCACCGGCCCC
This 388-nucleotide RNase P RNA is filed under the name Chloroflexota bacterium. RNAcentral's name for it is "RNase P RNA component class A". It matches the Rfam family "Bacterial RNase P class A". From Rfam's summary of the family: Ribonuclease P (RNase P) is a ubiquitous endoribonuclease, found in archaea, bacteria and eukarya as well as chloroplasts and mitochondria. Its best characterised activity is the generation of mature 5'-ends of tRNAs by cleaving the 5'-leader elements of precursor-tRNAs. Lineage: Bacteria; Bacillati; Chloroflexota. The record is from RNAcentral.